RNAcentral lists this ribosomal RNA (303 nucleotides) under Triticum aestivum (bread wheat). RNAcentral's name for it is "partial small subunit ribosomal RNA". Lineage: Eukaryota; Viridiplantae; Streptophyta; Magnoliopsida; Poales; Poaceae. The record is from RNAcentral.
AUGAUAGGUCUGAUAUGGAAUUGUAGAGGGUGUGGUAAGAAGGGUUUGGCUAAUUACUUGCAGGAAUUAUUAAGCAAUAAUGAAGUGGAUUCUAUGGGGCUACAGGAAACAAUGAAGAGAAAUUAUUCUGCAAGUUUCUUCAGGAAGAUGAUCAUACUGAUCAAUUUUCUUGGCACUAGAUUCCCUCUGUUGGAACCCUGUAGAUUUAACAUUACUGAUACUUCUCAAGGGAGAUUUCACAUCAAAAUUCAGUUUUUUGAUGUGAAGCUGCAGAUAACAUUGGGCCGUGAUCAUUGUCUAUGA